UCAUCACCAUCAUCACCCAGUCUAGUCUUUCGGGAGAUGUGCGCAUACCCGGGAGACAGGAUACUCCCGGAGGUUAAAAUCAAAGAAAUUCAGAUUUAAAACCCUCGGGAGAAAACAUUCUUCCGAGGGUUUUUUCGU
RNAcentral lists this small RNA (138 nucleotides) under Allocatenococcus thiocycli. RNAcentral describes it as "Catenococcus thiocycli His_leader". It matches the Rfam family "Histidine operon leader". Rfam says of the family: At least 6 amino acid operons are known to be regulated by attenuation. The record is from RNAcentral. Lineage: Bacteria; Pseudomonadati; Pseudomonadota; Gammaproteobacteria; Vibrionales; Vibrionaceae.